UACGUAGGGUCCUAGCGUUAAUCGGAAUUACUGGGCGUAAAGCGUGAGUAGGCGGCUUCGCAAGUCCGAUGUGAAAUCCCCGGGCUUAGCCUGGGAACUGCGUUGGAAACUAUGAGGCUAGAGUGCGGCAGAGGGGGGUGGAAUUCCAUGUGUAGCAGUGAAAUGCGUAGAGAUAUGGAGGAACACCGAUGGCGAAGGCAGCCCCCUGGGUUAGCACUGACGCUCAUACACGAAAGCGUGGGGAGCAAACAGG
This 253-nucleotide ribosomal RNA is filed under the name uncultured bacterium. RNAcentral's name for it is "partial 16S ribosomal RNA". It matches the Rfam family "Bacterial small subunit ribosomal RNA", at positions 524 to 776 of the family's 1533-position model. The record is from RNAcentral.